This 394-nucleotide ribosomal RNA is filed under the name uncultured Nitrosomonadales bacterium. Its description in RNAcentral is "bacterial SSU rRNA". It matches the Rfam family "Bacterial small subunit ribosomal RNA", at positions 41 to 436 of the family's 1533-position model. The record is from RNAcentral. Lineage: Bacteria; Pseudomonadati; Pseudomonadota; Betaproteobacteria; Nitrosomonadales.
GGCGGAUGUUUACACAUGCAAGUCGAGCGGCAGCGCGGGGGCAACCCUGGCGGCGAGCGGCGAACGGGUGAGUAAUACAUCGGAACGUACCCAGUAGUGGGGGAUAACACAUCGAAAGAUGUGCCAAUACCGCAUACGACCUGAGGGUGAAAGGGGGGGAUCGCAAGACCUCUCGCUAUUGGAGCGGCCGAUGUCGGAUUAGCUAGUUGGUGGGGUAAAGGCCUACCAAGGCGACGAUCCGUAGCUGGUCUGAGAGGAUGAUCAGCCACACUGGGACUGAGACACGGACCAGACUCCUACGGGAGGCAGCAGCGAGGAAUAUUGCACAAUGGAGGAAACUCUGAUGCAGCAACGCCGCGUGAGUGAAGAAGGCAUUCCGGUUGUAAAGCUCCUU